RNAcentral lists this transfer RNA (64 nucleotides) under Baltalimania ylvae. Its description in RNAcentral is "tRNA-Ser". Lineage: Eukaryota; Metazoa; Xenacoelomorpha; Acoela; Isodiametridae. The record is from RNAcentral.
AGAGUAACUUUUUAAAAGCAAUUUAACUUCUAAUUAAAAAAGUGUAAAAGUAUUACAUUACUCU